AUUGAACGCUGGCGGCAGGCCUAACACAUGCAAGUCGAACGGUAACAGGAAGCAGCUUGCUGCUUCGCUGACGAGUGGCGGACGGGUGAGUAAUGUCUGGGAAACUGCCUGAUGGAGGGGGAUAACUACUGGAAACGGUAGCUAAUACCGCAUAACGUCGCAAGACCAAAGAGGGGGACCUUAGGGCCUCUUGCCAUCGGAUGUGCCCAGAUGGGAUUAGCUAGUAGGUGGGGUAACGGCUUACCUAGGCGACGAUCCCUAGCUGGUCUGAGAGGAUGACCAGCCACACUGGAACUGAGACACGGUCCAGACUCCUACGGGAGGCAGCAGUGGGGAAUAUUGCACAAUGGGCGCAAGCCUGAUGCAGCCAUGCCGCGUGUAUGAAGAAGGCCUUCGGGUUGUAAAGUACUUUCAGCGGGGAGGAAGGGAGUAAAGUUAAUACCUUUGCUCAUUGACGUUACCCGCAGAAGAAGCACCGGCUAACUCCGUG
RNAcentral lists this ribosomal RNA (490 nucleotides) under uncultured bacterium. RNAcentral's name for it is "partial 16S ribosomal RNA". It matches the Rfam family "Bacterial small subunit ribosomal RNA", at positions 30 to 507 of the family's 1533-position model. The record is from RNAcentral.